Long non-coding RNA from Brassica oleracea var. oleracea, 1251 nucleotides. RefSeq lists it as uncharacterized. The record is from RefSeq and is a predicted model, not a curated record. Lineage: Eukaryota; Viridiplantae; Streptophyta; Magnoliopsida; Brassicales; Brassicaceae. The transcript is spliced from 3 exons.
CGUUCUUAGCUAAGAGUUUCUUCUCUGAUACAUCGAUAGAGUUUCGAUGUUACCAAUCAACGUUAAUCAUGGCUCUGUAAAUCUUUGAUAUGGUGUUAUGUCUUCUCUUUGUGUAAAUUGUGUAAAUGAAACUCCCCCCUAAAUAUUUCAUCCUCUUAUUUCAUCACCCCCUAAGAGCACGAUAUGUUAUUUAAUGAUAGCAAAGAAGUUGUAGGUUCAUCUCUAUCCCUUCUGUUUUCCAUCAACAUGUCCUUCUCUGAUUCAGAGUGGGCAUGGGACGCCCGUGACAGAUGAGAUUAUAAGUUCUUUUGGUCGGAUCAGCUGCAAGCGUAAUCCCUCUCUUUUGAUCUUUUGUUGGUUGUGGUUAUGAUGUGGUUAGUCUAAUGACAUUUCAGGGUUGCUACACGAGAUGCUUGGAUCUACCAAAACAAAGAGAUUCAAAAGCUUGGAAGGUGCUUUCACAAUAUCUACGGACAGAGGAAAAUUUUGCUUUCUCAAAUGAAAGGACUUGCAAACCAUUCCCAGAGUUUAUUCAUACACCACCAAAGAAAAAAUAUGUUCUUCUUUUUCUUUUGUUAUUCGUUUUUUAUUUUUAUUUUAAGUGAUACACAAUCUCCUCAUGUUCAAACAAGUUCUAUAAGAGAGUGAUGUCAGGUUGGAAGAAGAAAAUAAAAGUAAUGAUGUUCACAAGUUUUGAUGAUCAAUCUGUGUUUCAGUUCGUAAUUACAUGAACCAUAGAUAGAACCAAUAGAUAUAAGAAGCUGUUGGAUUGGAAAUGGAUGACGAGGGAACCAAGGGAGAUAGAAUCAAUGAGGAGAGUCAGUUCAAUUGAAUAGUUGUGUCCUGAGUCCUGACAAAGCCAGGACAGGCUGCUCUCUUGACCAAAUUGUAAUACACAACAAAUUGCAGACUAUUACAUCAGAUAAUCAGAGUAAAAACAGCUCAUGUGAGAACUGAUACAGAUAGAAAUGUCUCACCAAUGCAUUUAUGGAGGCUCUCCUUCUCCACAUCUUAACCUUGGCGACUGGACAUAACUAAUGAUAUAUAUAUUUUCAAGAUUACUAUGGUUGAAGUCUUGGAGUAUUGAACAUGUUAUUCCAAGGAGGAAUAUACAGAGUGUUACGUGAGAGAAUAGGCAUCACUCCUACAUUGCUGUGGCUGGUCCAGCCUGGUUGCAGUCGAUGCUUGCUCAAGAAAGCGGAAAUUCUUGAUACAAGAGCACAGUAGUUUUAAUCAAUGUCUUUUUAUACU